CAGUCGCCGCGGGAAUACGUAGGUGGCAAGCGUUGUCCGGAAUUAUUGGGCGUAAAGGGCUCGCAGGCGGUUUCUUAAGUCUGAUGUGAAAGCCCCCGGCUCAACCGGGGAGGGUCAUUGGAAACUGGGAAACUUGAGUGCAGAAGAGGAGAGUGGAAUUCCACGUGCAGCGGUGAAAUGCGUAGAGAUGUGGAGGAACACCAGUGGCGAAGGCGACUCUCUGGUCUGUAACUGACGCUGAGGAGCGAAAGCGUGGGGAGCGAACAGGAUUAGAUACCCCCGUAGUCCCUGUCUCUUAUAC
This 301-nucleotide ribosomal RNA is filed under the name uncultured bacterium. RNAcentral's name for it is "partial 16S ribosomal RNA". It matches the Rfam family "Bacterial small subunit ribosomal RNA", at positions 509 to 807 of the family's 1533-position model. The record is from RNAcentral.